CAGUGGCAACGCUGGUUCGAGCCUCGGCUGGGUCAGUUGGUGUUUCUAUGUGGAGUUUGCAUGUUCUCCCUGCGUUCGAGUGGGUUUCCUCCGGUUGCUUCGACUUCUUCAACAGUCUAAAGACACGCGGAACAGGCACAGCUUUAACACAACAGCAGCCUUUUCAAAGUGGACAGAAUUCUUUGAGAUUCAAUCUAAAGCUAAGUAUUUUGUUUCAGUUGUUUGUACUGCCUUGUAAUACAGUCACAUUUUCAGCAUAAUGUUAAAUCUUAGUCUCAUUCAAGUGUUGUGUUUUUUUUAUGUUUUUACUACCAGAAGACCCAAGAAGAUGUGUUGACUGAGAAAACAAAUGUCCUGCAGUAUUGUUGAGGAAGACAUCUGCCUAACUAUAUAUUGGAGAAGAACAGGUGUUUGGCAUUGCACACCACAGAAUUGCA
RNAcentral lists this long non-coding RNA (437 nucleotides) under Danio rerio (zebrafish). RNAcentral describes it as "lncRNA si:dkey-19d21.2 (ENSDARG00000097247.3)". Lineage: Eukaryota; Metazoa; Chordata; Actinopteri; Cypriniformes; Danionidae. The record is from RNAcentral.